GGAUGUGAGGGCGAUCUGUCUGCGACAUCUGUCAGCCCAUUGAUCGCCAUGGUUGAUUCGGCUGAUCUGGCUGGCUAGGCGGGUGUCCCCUUCCUCCCUCACCGCUCCAUGUGUGGCCUCCGAAAGCUGUGUGCUCCAUUGAACAGGACAGCCUUCCCCGAAUAGAGGCGGACUGGUCUUUGGUCGAGGGUAUACAAAUAGCUGCGCUCCCCUGAUAGAAUCUCCAAACAAGCUCUCAAGGAUGUGUUGAGAUGAGGGGAAGAACAAGGAUGGAUCAUAAAUAAGGAAGUGGCAUAAAUUA
RNAcentral lists this small nuclear RNA (301 nucleotides) under Erinaceus europaeus (western European hedgehog). RNAcentral describes it as "7SK RNA (ENSEEUG00000016624.1)". It matches the Rfam family "7SK RNA". From Rfam's summary of the family: 7SK was discovered as an abundant small nuclear RNA in the mid-70s but a possible function has only recently been suggested. Two independent studies have found that 7SK RNA binds the CDK9/cyclin T complex (known as elongation factor P-TEFb). The record is from RNAcentral. Lineage: Eukaryota; Metazoa; Chordata; Mammalia; Eulipotyphla; Erinaceidae.